Molecule: ribosomal RNA, 780 nt
Filed under: Acinetobacter sp.
Lineage: Bacteria; Pseudomonadati; Pseudomonadota; Gammaproteobacteria; Moraxellales; Moraxellaceae
Description: bacterial SSU rRNA
Rfam family: Bacterial small subunit ribosomal RNA
Source: RNAcentral
UGCAAGUCGAGCGGAGAUGAGGUGCUUGCACCUUAUCUUAGCGGCGGACGGGUGAGUAAUGCUUAGGAAUCUGCCUAUUAGUGGGGGACAACAUUCCGAAAGGAAUGCUAAUACCGCAUACGCCCUACGGGGGAAAGCAGGGGAUCUUCGGACCUUGCGCUAAUAGAUGAGCCUAAGUCGGAUUAGCUAGUUGGUGGGGUAAAGGCCUACCAAGGCGACGAUCUGUAGCGGGUCUGAGAGGAUGAUCCGCCACACUGGGACUGAGACACGGCCCAGACUCCUACGGGAGGCAGCAGUGGGGAAUAUUGGACAAUGGGCGGAAGCCUGAUCCAGCCAUGCCGCGUGUGUGAAGAAGGCCUUUUGGUUGUAAAGCACUUUAAGCGAGGAGGAGGCUACUUAGAUUAAUACUCUAGGAUGGUGGACGUUACUCGCAGAAUAAGCACCGGCUAACUCUGUGCCAGCAGCCGCGGUAAUACAGAGGGUGCGAGCGUUAAUCGGAUUUACUGGGCGUAAAGCGUGCGUAGGCGGCUGAUUAAGUCGGAUGUGAAAUCCCUGAGCUUAACUUAGGAAUUGCAUUCGAUACUGGUCAGCUAGAGUAUGGGAGAGGAUGGUAGAAUUCCAGGUGUAGCGGUGAAAUGCGUAGAGAUCUGGAGGAAUACCGAUGGCGAAGCAGCCAUCUGGCCUAAUACUGACGCUGAGGUACGAAAGCAUGGGGAGCAAACAGGAUUAGAUACCCUGGUAGUCCAUGCCGUAAACGAUGUCUACUAGCCGUUGGGGCCU